UACGGAGGGGGCUAGCGUUGUUCGGAAUUACUGGGCGUAAAGCGCACGUAGGCGGAUUGGAAAGUUGGGGGUGAAAUCCCAGGGCUCAACCCUGGAACUGCCUCCAAAACUUCCAGUCUUGAGUUCGAGAGAGGUGAGUGGAAUUCCGAGUGUAGAGGUGAAAUUCGUAGAUAUUCGGAGGAACACCAGUGGCGAAGGCGGCUCACUGGCUCGAUACUGACGCUGAGGUGCGAAAGCGUGGGGAGCAAACAGG
RNAcentral lists this ribosomal RNA (253 nucleotides) under uncultured bacterium. RNAcentral's name for it is "partial 16S ribosomal RNA". It matches the Rfam family "Bacterial small subunit ribosomal RNA", at positions 524 to 776 of the family's 1533-position model. The record is from RNAcentral.